Molecule: ribosomal RNA, 253 nt
Filed under: uncultured bacterium
Lineage: Bacteria
Description: partial 16S ribosomal RNA
Rfam family: Bacterial small subunit ribosomal RNA
Source: RNAcentral
UACGUAGGGUGCAAGCGUUGUCCGGAAUUAUUGGGCGUAAAGAGCUCGUAGGCGGUUUGUCGCGUCUGCUGUGAAAACUCGGGGCUUAACUCCGGGCCUGCAGUGGGUACGGGCAGACUAGAGUGCGGUAGGGGAGACUGGAAUUCCUGGUGUAGCGGUGAAAUGCGCAGAUAUCAGGAGGAACACCGGUGGCGAAGGCGGGUCUCUGGACAGGUCCUGACGCUGAGGCACGAAGGCCAGGGGAGCAAACGGG